AGAUUGAACGCUGGCGGCAUGCCUUACACAUGCAAGUCGAACGGCAGCACGGGAGCAAUCCUGGUGGCGAGUGGCGAACGGGUGAGUAAUAUAUCGGAACGUGCCCAGUCGUGGGGGAUAACGCAGCGAAAGCUGUGCUAAUACCGCAUACGAUCUAUGGAUGAAAGCGGGGGAUCGCAAGACCUCGCGCGAUUGGAGCGGCCGAUAUCAGAUUAGCUAGUUGGUGGGGUAAAAGCCUACCAAGGCGACGAUCUGUAGCUGGUCUGAGAGGACGACCAGCCAGACUGGAACUGAGACA
This 298-nucleotide ribosomal RNA is filed under the name uncultured soil bacterium. RNAcentral describes it as "partial 16S ribosomal RNA". It matches the Rfam family "Bacterial small subunit ribosomal RNA", at positions 26 to 326 of the family's 1533-position model. The record is from RNAcentral.